Daphnia pulicaria is the source of this 275-nucleotide long non-coding RNA. RefSeq lists it as uncharacterized. The record is from RefSeq and is a predicted model, not a curated record. Lineage: Eukaryota; Metazoa; Arthropoda; Branchiopoda; Diplostraca; Daphniidae. The transcript has 2 exons.
UUUCAUGCUAAAACAUGUAUUCUUCUCAUGUUUCAUUAGGAUUAAUCUUAAUUAUUGGCUGUUUCUAUUGAACUUGCUAGAUCACCGACCCCAGCAUGGACCAAUCUCUCAUUCCAUCUUCUAGAGAAUCUUGGAUAACUGAUUGGUGGUUUCAUGUGUUUCUAAAUUUGCAUGACUGUCUUUAUGAUUCCUUCAAAGAAAAAUGACUUACAGUCAUCAAGAUUCCUUGUUUGCUAGCCCGUUAUUGGCUGCUACCCUUGAAUCUCCUCAUUUGU